RNAcentral lists this ribosomal RNA (253 nucleotides) under uncultured bacterium. RNAcentral describes it as "partial 16S ribosomal RNA". It matches the Rfam family "Bacterial small subunit ribosomal RNA", at positions 524 to 776 of the family's 1533-position model. The record is from RNAcentral. RNAcentral also lists the same sequence under 1 other name.
UACAGGGAAUGCAAGCGUUAUCCGGAUUCAUUGGGCGUAAAGGGUCCUGAGGUGGUCUGCUUAGUCUACUGUGAAAGCUCAGGGCUCAACCCUGACAAUGCGGUGGAAACUAGUAGGCUAGAAUACGGUAGGGGCAAGGGGAAUUCCCAGUGUAGCGGUGAAAUGCAUAGAUAUUGGGAAGAACACCAAAGGCGAAGGCACCUUGCUGGGCCGAUAUUGACACUGACAGACGAAAGCUAGGGGAGCGAAUGGG